AUUGAACGCUGGCGGCAUGCCUUACACAUGCAAGUCGAACGGUAACAGGUCUUCGGAUGCUGACGAGUGGCGAACGGGUGAGUAAUACAUCGGAACGUGCCUAGUAGUGGGGGAUAACUACUCGAAAGAGUGGCUAAUACCGCAUGAGAUCUACGGAUGAAAGCAGGGGAUCGCAAGACCCUGUGCUACUAGAGCGGCCGAUGGCAGAUUAGGUAGUUGGUGGGAUAAAAGCUUACCAAGCCGACGAUCUGUAGCUGGUCUGAGAGGACGAUCAGCCACACUGGGACUGAGACACGGCCCAGACUCCUACGGGAGGCAGCAGUGGGGAAUCUUGGACAAUGGGCGAAAGCCUAAUCCAGCAAUGCCGCGUGCAGGAUGAAGGCCUUCGGGUUGUAAACUGCUUUUGUACGGAACGAAAAGCCCCGGGUUAAUACCCUGGGGUCAUGACGGUACCGUAAGAAUAAGCACCGGCUAACUACGUGCCAGCCGCCGCAGUAA
This 498-nucleotide ribosomal RNA is filed under the name uncultured bacterium. RNAcentral describes it as "partial 16S ribosomal RNA". It matches the Rfam family "Bacterial small subunit ribosomal RNA", at positions 30 to 523 of the family's 1533-position model. The record is from RNAcentral.